UUUUUUAUUUUUUUAUUUUUUUUUGAGUGAGUGCAACCAACAGGAUUAUGCAAAUUUGGCGAAACAUCUUUGUGCUGACUGUGUGUUGCCCGUGAUUUUAAGCAAUACUAGUAGUCAUAAAUAUUAAAAAUAUUAAUUAAAUUAAAUAUUUUGUGAUCGGGCUUGUUUAAACAAAUUAAAUUGUAUUGUCUUAAUAAAUUUCAAUUGUCAUCUUAUUUGUCAAUGUGAUAUAUCCAAUAAUAAAAUCGCUAUUAAAUUAAAGGGACUUAUAUAGUCAUUAAAUAACUUUUUUUGUUCUAUAUUUUUUUUUAUUAUAUUACCCAAUACUUAGUAUUUUUACAUUGUUAAUAGAAAUUUUUAUUAGCAUAUUACUUUGUUUAACAUUUUUGUCUGCUCGUUUUCUUUUUGUUAUAUAAGAGAAUAUAUAUAUAUAUAUAUAUAUAUAUAUAUUUUAUUAUUCUUAAAAUAUUUCUUUUAUUAGCAUAUUACUUUGUUUAACAUUUUUGUCUGCUCGUUUUCUUUUUGUUAUAUAAGAGAAUAUAUAUAUAUAUAUAUUAUUAUUACUCUUGAAAUAUUUUUUUAUUUUAAAUUUUCUGUGUGACUUGAUUUGCUUUGUUUGAGAAAUUCCCGAUGAAAUCCAUCGAUAAAUGCUACCGACGAAUCGUCUAUUUGGCCGAGCUUCUAAAAGUAGGAAGAGUGGGAACUACCAUGCACGUGACAUGGUGUCCAAUCACCAAUCGAUCGACUAGGUCGUCUCCCCACAUAUGUCAUGUGAGUCGACAUCAAAUCCAAGGCCAACAAUAAUCUCAUCCCAAUCAAGGGGCAUAAUCUCGACACAUUAAUGUCAUCCCAGUUAAGGGAAAUAAUCUCAAUUUACUCCUACACCGACACGUGUAGUUUCAGGUGUGGGCCGUUACUACCCACCCUUCCUCGGCUCGCUAAUGAUACUCCUAAAAAUAUUUUGUUUUGCACACAAAGAAAAUAGAAAUACAAACACAUUCAUCUCGUAACUUUCAUAUCAUAUAUAGCACCAUUGGUACUUUCGACCACUCACCACAUCAUUACUUCCUUGGCUCUCUUGGCCAUAUAUCGAGUUCUUCAUUCAUGGCACGUUGGCCGUAUUUCAUAUUUCACACUUUCAUUUCUUUACUUUCAAACUAUAGAGUAUUCCGGAAAUCACAAGAUUAAAUUCAUUAGUAAUGAAGACUUUAAGCACAAUGGAUUUCUUUCCAAAGAAUGGUGCACAAUGACUGGGAAUUGAAGUAGAAGUUAAAAUCAUAAACGAGUAAUACACCAUUUCUUUUGAAAUACUUCUCUAAAAAGACAAUGCACAGUUUCAUUUCAUGGGUAAAUAAGAACUCAACCCACAUUGGAAAUACUUACAAAUGAGAGCAUGGUGAUUGAUGAUUGAAACAUAGAUUCAAAUCAUAUGCACUAUUCAUAACAACCAUGGCCACAUUUUUAUAUCUCACUCUUACUUCUUUCACUUCCAAAUAUCAUCAUGGAUUAUCAACAAUAGGGGCAUUUGGAAUCAAGACUUUAAAUAUGUAUAUAAGCAAUAUGAGUCUUAAGCACGUUGAGUUUUCUUUCCAAAUUAAGCUUAAUGAACUUUCAAUUUGAACACGAAUUGGAGUCGUAACAUUUAAUGCAUAAACCAUACUUGAACACAUUCUCAAAAGAGAUCAUGAUAAGAUAGGAGCAAUUGGAACACAUUUUGAGUAUAUACAAAUUUCAACAUAAUGCUUAUUUAGGAUAAUCGAAUUUAUUAGGAAUAACUUCGGAACAUGAGAAUUAGGAACCUGGGCCAACCAUACUUGAAACUUACGGGAACAUCAGGAAUUUGAUUCUUACAGAGCAAUUUAGCCAACCUACCUUUUUGUGCUUUUCAUAGAUUACUACAAUGUCUCAAUACUCCUAACAACCUUAAUCUAUAGAAACAUAACCAAAUUUAACUAUACUUAGGAAUGUGUUCUUAGAUUUAGCCUAUUUUGACAUUUCAUCAAACACCUAAUAUGCGAAAUCAAUUACAAGGUCUCGUAAUAGAAAUUCUCUACCCUCACCAUGAAUUUUCAAGCAGCCAACCAUUAUACAAUAUCCCUACAACUCCCAUCAACCAUCAGUAAUCACAUGCAUGCCUAACCAUUUGCUUCAGACACAUCAAAAUCACAUUUCCUAGUCUUCACAUACUCCCAAAUUCAAGAUUGAGAGCUUAAGGAUUUCGGUCACCAUCCCAUAGUCCCUACCAUGAUAGCAUCCUACUUAAACCCAUUAUUAAACUUUGCAUAAAAUUUAGGGAUGAAGUCUUACCUUGUAAUUAUAAGGCCUUGUGAGUUUCCCUCUUUAAUUCCUAAGGUUUGUGCAAGAAUUCGAGAGUACAAUUUGAUAGAGCUUCUUGCUCUCUCUCUAAACUGAUACCCUCACUCUAAAGAAUCAAGUUAUAUCUUAUAAAAUGAACCCCUAAAGCCUUAUAUCAAAAUAGGGCCAGAUAAGAAAUUUUUUAAAAAUAACCCCGAUGUCAAUUCUGUGGUGCAAUUCUGUGGUAGUAAAACAGAUAUAUGGCUAGCAGAAUGGCCAUAAAUGGUAUGUCAAUUUCGCGAUAGCAGAAUGGUUAUGCGGCCAACAAAAUAGCCACAAAAUGGUUUUCAAAUUCUAAGUUGGAUCUGGUCAAUUUCUCGAUGCAAUUUUGCGGCAGCAUAAUGGUUAUGCGGCCAGCUGAAUGGCCACAAAAUGAUUUUCAAAUUUGAGUUGCUUCUGAUUCAUUCCAUGAUUAUUCCGUGGUCAGCAAAAUAGAUCCGCUAUAGCAUAAUGGACCAUAGAAUUGUCGUUUUCUACAAAUUUCUCUACCAACUUCACGAUGCAUUGCACAAUCCAAAAAUCUGUGUUGUGACAUAUUAACUUACCUUUGCACCAUAGAAACAUAAAAUUCUUGGUGAACUUUUACGGGGCUUUAUAAAAAUCCGGAUAAUUUUCAUCAUUUACAUGGAUCCUAUGCAUGUAACUCGGAGGGAAACCUAUAGAAAUAAGUAAAAAGAAAAAUAGAUACCAUUUACCAAUAAUUAGUCAUUAAGUUAUGUUAUAAAAAUUAGCAGAAAAAAUUCAAUGACAUACAAUAUUGGAAAAAACCUGGACAAAAGUAAAGUUGUACCAUGAUGCCAAAUAUAGCAUCUUCCACGACCUUUAUGAGCAACAACAUAAGCAUUGUUCACUAUGUGAAACAUGCAUCUUACAUGUAUAUCAUACACAAAUAUAUAUGAAUAUAUAGGGGAUAUAUGGGAUACACAUUUGCUAUAUAUUGGAUACACAAAUGAUGCACAAGAGAUAUAUAGGGCAUAUAUAUUUCAUUUUCUACUUCAAAUUUUUAAUUACCCACCUCAAAUGUCCACCAAAUCGCCCCAAAAUUAAGAUUCAAAAUUCGUAAUUUAUACUAAAUCUAUUUCAAAUUUCCAACAAUACCCACUUGAGUUCGUCCAAAAAUACAUAUAUUUACCCAUUGUUAUCUCAUAUUCUAGUACUUUUAAUCAUCUUUUGAGUAUUAAUUACAUCACUUUGUGCUUAAUAUUAUAUUUUAACUGUGUAGAAAAAAGCAGUAUGAAGAUGAAGAUAUUUGGAACAAAAUUGAACAAAACGCAGAAGAAAAAGAAAGAAAGAAAAAAAGAAUUAAAAAAAAUGGGGAUACCCUUUGGAUUUUGUCCCCCCAAAUGCAAGACAAGGAAACAAAGGAAAUAUAUGUAAAGCAAAGAAUUAAGCAAGGCAAAAAAACGUACCAAAAGAAUGGGAGACAACAAAGCUCACUGGAUCUAACGCCAGGGCCAGCACGAGGCGCUGUCAUGGACGCUGGCGAGGACUUUUCCUAUUUCGUCCGGGACAAGAUUAUUUCUGUCCUAUACGGCCCCAACUCGUAUAAAAAGGGCCUUAAACUUAAUUUGGAGGAUAUCUGACAGACUUUGAAGGAGAAUUCACGUGGGGAACACACACCACGCUUAGAGGAGGCUUCGAACUAGGUUUACUUCUCUUCUUUUCCUUUACUUCAUAGUUUAUUAAUUCUAGAGUUGUUGGUUGCUACAUGAAUGUUGUGUUUUGAAACUUGAAUGCUCUUAUUAUUUUAUCAUAUUGGUUUAUUUAUUCAAUCUUGCGCUUAAUUAUUUGAUUGUUUGAUCACCAAUUGAAUACUAUCUAUGAAUCUAGAAUUAAACUCGGGAAAGGGAAUUUUAGAUUGCUUAUAAGUUGAAUAGAGCAAGAUAUAGCGGUUAGGAUAGAGAAAUACCAAAUCGCCUUACUUGGUUACCAUACAGGAAUUAUAAAUGCGUUCUUGUUAAUCCUAAUUCCAUAGGAAUAUAGGCGUUAGGUUAGCUUGAAUUGGCGAGUAAUACUUCAGGAAAAGGCUACGCCCAAUAUUAACCCUGUCAAUCAAUAAACCAGAUAAAUUAAUUAGACGAUUUAAGUGGAAAACUCAACGGGAUUGUUAGCUAACCCAUAACUCUGGAAUAUUUUCUCCCCUUGAUUUCCUCUCUAAUCUCGCCAAAUUAUUUUCUUUAAUCUCUUAUUUUGUUACUCUAGAUUAGUUUAGUUAAAUAUUCAUACUUUAGCAAAUCGAUUGAAUAAAUUAAUUGUUUGGGUUUAAUUUAGUUGAUAGUUAAUUACAAGUCCCUGUGGGUAUGAUAUCUGGACUUAUAAUCCUAUAUUACUUGUCGACCAUGUAUACUUGCGUGUGCAUUUGGGAGCAACAAGUUUUUGGCAUCGUUGCCGGGGGCUUAAAAAUGAACUAUUCUACUAGAUUAGAUUUUUACUUUUUGUCUAUUAAGUUUAAAUUUUAGCUUAGUUUAAUAUUUUAUUAUCUUUGUUUACAUGGCAUCUUGGAAUGAGAAUUGGUCGAGUAUUAGUUAUUUUUAUUUUGGUGAUCUAUGUCCAUAUUGUGGAGGACCACACUUGUGGCAAAAUUGUAAAUCUCAAUCUUAUGUGUGAAAUUUUUGUAAUGUGUGUGGUUGUCAAGGUGGCCAUUAGGAUGGUUUUCCUAAUUCUUAUUAUCCUUCUCAGAGCUCUUAAUGUUUCUAAUAACGUUUAUGAGUUUGAUAGGAUCAAGGAAGUGGAGGAUAUGAAAAGCGUGGCUCGUAUUAUGGACAUGAUGAGGCAAGUAGCCGAGCAACAUGACAUGAUGAUAAGGAAAGUAGCUGAGCAACAAGAUGAAAAUCAAAAGGCUAUACAAAAAAUUAGUGCACCAAUCAUGAGAAUGAAAGCAGAGGCAGAAGAAGUGGCUAAAGAGAGAAAGUUCCCACAAGAAGAUAAUUUAGAAGAAGUAGAUAUAGUGAGCCAAUCUUGGCUAGAGGAACAAGCUCAACUGAUAAAAUCUCAUGAGUUUCUUCGUGAUGGUCUUUCAAAUAUGACAGAACAACUAUUAUAGGGAAGAACUGAGCUCAAGCAAGAAAUAGACUAAUUUGGCUCAGAUAUCCAUGACCUUUAGGCUAAAUUGAAUAAAAAGGUUGAGGCGCCUGAUGCCCUACAACCAAUUUUUGUGGAUACUGGCCAGCUUGUGAAGCGGAAAGAGGAAUUCCAACCAUUUGAUCAAAAUAUUGUUAAUGAUGCCAAGGUUAAGGAAGUGUGCAAAAAUGAGGAUGUUAAAAGUAAAGGAGUUUUAGAGUUGGAGCGUAUUGGACCUCAUUCUGACCAUCUUUCAACAUUGUGUUUGGUUGGUGACAUGAGAAUUGAUCCACCCGGGCAUAUGGAGGAGUCAAUGAAUGAGGAACAAAAUACAUAUAUUCUGAAAUUUGCGAUGUCAAGGAGACAAAACGACAUCCGUCACUUAAAGGCCAAGAUGUGCAAGAUGCGACAUUGUUUACUUGGUUAUUUUGUAUUUACACCACCGCCCUAGGAACGUGAUAGAAAAUUUAAUAUAAAUUUGGGGGGCGCAAUUUAUAUCCUCAAAGUGGAAGAAAAAGUGGUGAAAGUGAUAGCUUCGUACCACGACUAUAAAUAAGGCACUUGUUGGGAGGCAACCCAAUUCAUUAUUUCUUUUUAUUUUGUUUUAUUUUAUUAAUUGUGUAUUUUUUUGUAGUGUUAUUUUUGUAUUUUGUAGGAGUAGGAACAUGGAGUCAAAGCCAGUAGGCGUGUGCAAAAGCGAGCAGGUGGCUGAAACUAAGUGUGAGGUACCCGCACAAGGGAUUAUAUCUGGGAGAAGUCUGAGCAUCCUGUGAGCUGCUAAUGCUUUAGCCUUUAGUCUACCAGGGAUCUCUUUUACCCUCUUGUUAUUUUUAGUGUGCAUUGAGGAUAUUGCACAAUUUUAAGUGUGGGGUGAAGAGAUUGUCUGGAUAAUUUUUUGUGUUAUCUUAGCUUAGUUGUAGUACCCGUUCCUAGUGUAGUAUUUUUAUUAAAAAUAAAAUAGAAAAAAACAAAAAAAAACAAAAAAAAAGAAAAAAAUUCAGAAAAUUAGGACUUUUCCUGAUGAUGGAUUUUGUGGACAGCUUUCUUGAGGGAUUAAGGUCCAAUUUAAAAAAUACCAAAAAGAUUUUUCUUUUCUUUUCUAGUUAGUGUUAGGUAGGUAAUAAUCCCCCUUGAUUUUUCUUUUUGCAUCGGUUCUUUUUCAGGGGAUGUAACUUGAACCGGGUAAACUUUUUAUUUUUAGGAUUAUAUUUUUUUAGGAGUAAUAAAAGAGAGAGAGAAGAAAAACCUUUUAUGACUUGUUUGAUACUAGCAUAUUUAGGCCUGAACUUGAGUAGUACUUUCCUCUGAAAGCUUGAAUAAUGAAUAAAAUAGUAGACUUUCUGACACCUAAGCUCAGGGUCGUGACUCUCUAUAUAACUUAUUUUUAUUUUGUUGUUUGCAAUGAUCAUGCCUGUCUUAGAGUAGAAAUUGAUCCAUCUUGAUUGAUACUUGUGCCAUGUGGGUUGAUGAUUUCUUAAAAUAUAUUCCAUGUUUUGCAUCUUAGUCUAGAACUUGCCCUGCAUGUUAUUGAAUCAAAAUAAAAGUGUAGCUCUGUUUAGAAGAUGAUAAUAGGCUUUCUUUGAUAUGUCAUGUGAAUUUUAGCCUUUUGAUAUAUUGUACCACUAGAUAGCCCUUUGAGUUUAUAGCUGUUUAUUAGCAGUCCUAUUUUUGCCUUGAUUCUUUUGUUGAAUCCCUAGUUUUUGCACCAUGCUUCCUGGAGCAUUAUUACUUAAACUGUAAUAUUAAUUGAUAAAUUUGGAGAAAGGGAUGAUUAAAUAAAAAAUGAUGGACAACGAUAGUUGCAAAGUAAUGAAAAGGCCCUCUUGAAAAUAAUGUGAUAUGAAAAAAAAAAUGGACAAACAAAAAAAAUGCUUUGAGAAAAAAAAUAAAUAGCCUUGAUAUGAGGGAAAUACUUUUGAAAUAAUUGAUGAAGAGACGGCUGAAAAAUAAAGUUAAGAGCUGAAAAUAAUGGGUGAAGAAAUCUAAAAAUGCAAAGUGCUUAGGGAAGUGUAAGUCACUAUUAUAUAAUUCUCCUACCCGUCCCCUAGACAAUAUUACAACCCGUUAAAAUAAUAUUUGAUUCUAUUCGAGUAUGCUUAAUUAAUAGAGAUGUACGUAAUGGGCAAGCCUAUGGUUCUUUGUGCAUACAUGUGAAUUCGUUUGUGAGUGUGAAAGUUGUUCUUUGAUGCUAAGUCCUUAAAUUAUAUUCAUUCUUUGGUUUUAGUGUAUGAACUAUUUAUUCUUGUGAGAGCACUUGUUUCAUGAUAGAUAGGUGAUGUUAUUAGCUUCUUUGACAGAGUAGGUGAGCUAGCUUGAAUUUGGUAAAUUAGAGUCCGACUGUGAGGUUAGGAGGUUAGAAGUUUGUUGUUUGUUCGUGACUUGUAUAUCUUGCACGAUGAUGAGGAAGUGUAUAUCUGAUGCUUUGAGUUUCUAUAGGGCCUAAUUGUUAGUAUCAAACGAAGUGGUGGUGUUUCUAGGCUUAAUUCAUUGAGAGUUGUUUUAAUGCUUACUCGAGGACGAGUAAGAGUCUAAGUGUGGGGUGUUGAUGUUCGGCCAAAAAUGCAUAUAUUUACCCAUUAUUAUCUCAUAUUCUAGUACUUUUAAUCAUUUUUUAAGUAUUAAUUAUAUCACUUUGUGCUUAAUAUUAUAUUUUAGCUGUGUAAGAAUAAAGCAGUGUGAAGAUAAAAAAUUUGGAUUAAAAUUGAAUAAAAUGCGAAAGAAAAAAAAUAUAAAAAAAGGGGACACCCUUUGGAUUUUGUCCCCCAAAUGCAAGACAAAGAAACAAAGGAAAUAUAUGCAAAGCAAAGAAUUAAACAAGGCAAACAAAAGUACCUAAAGGAUUGGAGACGGCAAAGCUCACUGGAUCUAACUCCAGGACCAGCGUGAGGCGCUGUCCUGGCCGCUUGAGGCGAGGACUUUUCUUAUUUCGUCGGGACAAGAUUAUUUCGGUCCUAUACGGCCCCAACUCGUAUAAAAGGGGCCCUAAACUUAAUUUGGAGAAUAUCUAACAUACUUUGAAGGAGAAUUUACGUGGGGGAACAUACACCAAUGCUUGGAGAAGGCUUCUAACUAGUUUUUCUUCUCUUCUCUUCCUUUAAUUCAUAGUUUAUUUGUUCUAGAAUUGUUGGGUGCAACAUGAACGCUGUGUUUUGAAACUUGAAUUGCUCUUAUUAUUUUAUCAUGUUGGUUUAUUUAUUCUAUCUUACGCUUAAUUAUUUGAUUGUUGAUCACCAAUUGAUACUAUCCGCAAAUCUAGGAUUGAAAGGGAAUAUUAGAUUGCAUAUAAGAUUGAAUAGAGCAAGAUAUUGAACUCGAGUAUCGGGAACGAAUUUGCGAUUAGGAUAAGGAUAUACCUAAUCACCAUGCUUGAUUACUAUACGGGAAUUAUAAAUGUGUUCUUGUUAAUCCUAAUUCCAUAGGAAUAUAGGCAUUAGGUUAGCUUGAAUAGGUGAGUAGUACUUCGGGAGAAAGCUACGCGCAAUAUUAACCCUAUCAAUCAAUAAACCAGAUAAAUUAAUUGGACGAUUUAAGUGGAAACCUCAACGGAAUUGUUAGCUAACCCAUAGCUCUGGAAUAUUUUCUCCCCUUGAUUUUGUCUCUAAUCUCGCCAAAUUAUUUUCUUUAAUCUCUUAUUUUUUUACUCUAGAUUAGUUUAGUUAAAUAUUCAUACUUUAGCAAAUCGCUUGAAUAGAUGAAUUGUUUGGGUUUAAUUUAGUUGAUUGUUAAUCACAGGUCCCUGUAGGUACGAUAUCUGGACUUAUAAUCAUAUAUUACUUGUCAACCACAUAUACUUGUGUGUGCUUUUGGGAGCAACACCACUCGAACAAAUUUCAAAUUCCGAAAACAAAAUACUCCCUCUAAUGCACAAGAAAAUAAAGUACCAUGGCAGUGAUGGCACUAUAUGGAAAGACAGGGAUGCAAUGCAUGGCAAUCUCUCUAGCAAACAAAGUUUCUAAAAUUGAAAAAAAAAUGUGAAUUUUGAUCUUUUGCAGAAGCCUAAUUAGACUUAACGUUUCACACUGAUUGAGCUAAAGAAGACUAAUUAGAUUUAACUGUAGCUGCUAGAGAAGUUAAUAAUCAACUAAAAACAAAAGUGCACAUUGUAAAUGAAAGAAAUGCAACAAAAGCAUCACUAACUAAAACAAACUAGUGCUCCAUUUCUUAUUAAACAGGCAGUGGAAAAGCUCCACUGCCAUAUUACAGAUUACAGGCAAGACAGAGCAUAUUGUCAUGCCUUUGUUUCAUACAUAGACUACAUAUUAUUCGUUAGGACUUAGGAAACAGCAACCUUAGACUUCUGGAGAUCAUUCUCAACUUCACGAACAUAUUCAUCCACUUUGCUGGCAUAUUCAGAUUCUCCUUCACAAAUAAAAGUUCCAUCAUCACUAAAGUACUUACAGCCCUUUUUACCUGCGCAACAAUUGGUGCAUAUCCGAUCAUUCUUCUUUUCUUCUGAAAGUGGGCAAAUCCCAUAGGCAAUUCUUCCAUCACAAUUCCGAGGACAGGCUUUUGGAUUUCUAGGAUCAGACUCUCCUUCACAAACAAAAGUUCCAUCAUCACUAAAGUACUUACAACCCUUUUUGCCUGCACAACAGUUAGUACAUANNNNNNNNNNNNNNNNNNNNNNNNNNNNNNNNNNNNNNNNNNNNNNNNNNNNNNNNNNNNNNNNNNNNNNNNNNNNNNNNUUNNUGCCUGCGCAACAGUUGGUGCAUAUCCGAUCAUUCUUUUUUUCUUCUGAAAGUGGGCAAAUCCCAUAGGCAAUUCUUGGAUCGCAAUUCCGAGGACAAGCCUUCGGAUUUCUAGGAUCAGACUCUCCUUCACAAACAAAAGUUCCAUCAUCACUAAAGUACUUACAUCCCUUCGUGCCUGCGCAACAGUUGGUGCAUAUCCGAUCAUUCUUCUUUUCUUCUGAACGCGGGCAAACUCCAUAGGCAAUUCUUGGAUCACAAUUUAAGGGACAAGCCUUGGCAUCUGCAUGUUCCACAUUGCUUACAAGCAGAGACAUUCCUAUAACAUAGCCACAUUAAUUACCUUAUGAGUGUUGAACAAUGGAUUCAAGUAAUUGGUUAAGAGAGAAACUUAAAGAAAGGGAAAUACAUAAAAUCCUCCUUAAAUUACGUAGAAGUCUUAUUAUCCUCGUGAACUCGUUUGAAGUGAUAUUAUUACCUCCAUAUAACGCCCAGACAGUGGCAAAUUCAGAUGGGAGAAAUUCAAAAAUAGUUAGAUUUACAGGUGGUCAUUCAAAAAUAAUCAUAAUUUCAAAAGUAAUCGAAAUUUAGUCAUUUUUCAUGUAAAGAUAAAUAUGAACGGAAACACUGUUCAAAAUCAAAAAAUAAGUCCAGUAUAAUAUACUGGAAUUCAAGUAUAAUAUAGUGAAACUCCAGUAUAUUCUAGCACAAGUAUACUGGAAUUCCAGUAUAAUAUACUAGAGAUCCAGUAUAAUUACC
RNAcentral lists this long non-coding RNA (10862 nucleotides) under Nicotiana tabacum (common tobacco). Its description in RNAcentral is "long non-coding RNA (NTAB_LNC000726)". The record is from RNAcentral. Lineage: Eukaryota; Viridiplantae; Streptophyta; Magnoliopsida; Solanales; Solanaceae.